CCGGCUUCAGCGCUCCGUGCGUCCGGCCCAGGGACGCCUGGUUUCCCCCCAAGCGAACCGGGAUGGGAAGUGACUUCAAUGAGAUUGAACUUCAGCUGGAUUGAAAGAGAGGCUAGAAGUUCCGCUUGCCAGCAGCCUCCUUAGUAGAGCGGAAUGAGUAAUACCCACACGGUGCUUGUCUCACUUCCCCAUCCGCACCCGGCCCUCACCUGCUGUCACCUCGGCCUCCCACACCCGGUCCGCGCUCCCCGCCCUCUUCCUCGCGUAGAACCGUGGGAUCCUAGGUGGCAGGACUCAGAGCUAAGGUAUCCACAGGCCAUGAAUUCCUUCCUAAAUGAGCGGUCAUCGCCGUGCAGGACCUUAAGGCAAGAAGCAUCGGCUGACAGAUGUGAUCUCUGAACCUGAUAGAUUGCUGAUUUUAUCUUAUUUUAUCCUUGACUUGGUACAAGUUUUGGGAUUUCUGAAAAGACCAUACAGAUAACCACAAAUAUCAAGAAAGUCGUCUUCAGUAUUAAGUAGAAUUUAGAUUUAGGUUUCCUUCCUGCUUCCCACCUCCUUCGAAUAAGGAAACGUCUUUGGGACCAACUUUAUGGAAUAAAUAAGCUGAGCUGUAUUUCAAGUAAUAUAGUUAUAAAUUAACAAUGUAGCAGUUAUUGAUAGAGAAAUUGAGAAAACUGAAACGUGACCGGAGUAUUGGAAAUAACGUAGUACAUCACCUAGCACAAUGACACAUAGUAGGUGCUCAAUAAAUUUAUGCUUAUAAUUUUUGUCACUUCUAUGGCAGGAUUUUUUUAUUAGGUUAAAAUUAUCUUUUAAACACCUUCCGGAAUUUUAGAAUAUUCAUUAAUAAUGUCUUCAAACCUUUCAACUGAAAUAAAUUUACAGCUGAAGUCUGAUGAUUUAAAGUUAGAAAGUUUAAUCUUGAAUAUAAAUGAACAUUUUCUCUCCCACAUUUUCUUGGGCAUUUUGAGAAGUAAAUGCGUUAUUUAUUGGUCCAUGAAAUGUGACUGUAAAUAUUCUUUGCUAUACAUUAUGUCUAUAUAUCUGCAUUCAUCCUCAAUGCCAAAACUAGAAUCAUUAGUCUUAAUGAUCAUUUUAAGUACAGGCAGUCCUCGCUUUCCUUGAUACCAUGUUAACCGAAACUUGUGUAUGUCAACACGGUGUCCUUGCUUUGCUUGGUUAAGUGUGAGUUCUUCCUCCCUUUUUUUAAGAGUUGUACAAUGUUUUUCAGUCGCCUACCGAAUCAGGUCAUAGACUAUGGAAUUGACCCCACCCCACCAACAUUUUUACAGCUACCCUGAUUUCUGACCAGAAAGGAAAAAAAAACUUUCCAGCUCUAUCACACAUUUUACCUACUCUUAAACUUAGGAGGUAUUACAAAUAGCAUUUUCUCAUGUUCUCUUUCUGGCCUGUACCUCCCUGCUAAGCUUCCUUCAGUGUUCAUCCUCACCUCAUAGAGAGAUGAAGUGAAGAGACAAACAGAAGUCAUUUUCUUCCUUACUUUAGUGGUUUCUGGUUUAGUUAGUUUGGGCCAAACUGUGGACAAGUACCUUUUCAGGUAACUUUUUUUUCUUAUUUCUAUGUCCUCAACACCUAGUGGAGUACGUAGCCAAUAGUAGAUGCUUAAUAAACAUUUCUUAAAUUAAUAUUGUUGACCUUUUCUGACCCUGUUCUUGACAGUAAGGUACAUAAUCUGCCUUCAUCCCUUUAGUCCUUAGGAACAGAUAAAGUCAUGGAUAUGAAAGUGAUCACUGUCAUUAAUAUCCACAUUAAAAUUGCUCUUGAUUUUAGUUUCUCCAUAAUCAUUUUCCCUAAACAAUGAACUCUGUUCACCUUUUUUUUUAAAAUAUGCACAGUGAAUAUUACUGGUAGCCCAAAUCUUCUAACAUAAAAUUUCCAUUUUGUAAAAGCUUCUGAUAAGCAUAUAUGUUAUGAAUUGAAUGUUUGAUUAUUAUACUUUAAUAUUCUUGAAAAUAUUGAUACCUGGACUGGAAAGAAAACAGACAAAAGUAAAUCUCAGAAUAAAUUACUGCUUUAAACAUGAUGCAUGUGUGACGGUUGCUUCUUAUCUCUUAAAUACAGCUAAAGAAUAGGGGAAAAAUCUUUAGAAUCAAUUUAUA
This 2120-nucleotide long non-coding RNA is filed under the name Homo sapiens (human). RNAcentral describes it as "HSALNT0357199". Lineage: Eukaryota; Metazoa; Chordata; Mammalia; Primates; Hominidae. The record is from RNAcentral.